RNAcentral lists this ribosomal RNA (666 nucleotides) under Sarcocystis sp. RNAcentral describes it as "SSU rRNA". It matches the Rfam family "Eukaryotic small subunit ribosomal RNA", at positions 455 to 1077 of the family's 1831-position model. The record is from RNAcentral. Lineage: Eukaryota; Apicomplexa; Conoidasida; Eucoccidiorida; Sarcocystidae.
CUCAGGGAGGUAGUGACAAGAAAUAACAACACUGGAGAUUUUAUUUCUAGUGAUUGGAAUGAUGGGAAUUUAAACCCCUUUCAGAGUAACAAUUGGAGGGCAAGUCUGGUGCCAGCAGCCGCGGUAAUUCCAGCUCCAAUAGCGUAUAUUAAAGUUGUUGCAGUUAAAAAGCUCGUAGUUGGAUGUCUGCUGGAAGCAAUCAGUCCGCCCUAUUUGUAGGGUGUGCACUUGAUGAAUUCUGGCAUCUAUAUGUCCCAAUGUGAUAUACGCGAUGGUGUUAUUAAUAUAUAGGUUAAUCCUGUAUAUUAUAUACCCAUUUGUGUAAUAUUGGGAUAAUACCGUUACUUUGAGAAAAUUAGAGUGUUUGAAGCAGGCUAAUUGCCUUGAAUACUGCAGCAUGGAAUAACAAUAUAGGAUUUCGGUUCUAUUUUGUUGGUUUCUAGGACUGGAAUAAUGAUUAAUAGGGACAGUUGGGGGCAUUCGUAUUUAACUGUCAGAGGUGAAAUUCUUAGAUUUGUUAAAGACGAACUACUGCGAAAGCAUUUGCCAAAGAUGUUUUCAUUAAUCAAGAACGAAAGUUAGGGGCUCGAAGACGAUCAGAUACCGUCGUAGUCUUAACCAUAAACUAUGCCGACUAGAGAUAGGAAACUGUCAUUUUUCUGACUU